CCCGUUGCGCGGCCUACCAUGCAGUCGACGGUAGCACAGAGAGCUUGCUCUUGGGUGACGAGUGGCGGACGGGUGAGUAAUGUCUGGGAAACUGCCCGAUGGAGGGGGAUAACUACUGGAAACGGUAGCUAAUACCGCAUAACGUCGCAAGACCAAAGUGGGGGACCUUCGGGCCUCACACCAUCGGAUGUGCCCAGAUGGGAUUAGCUAGUAGGUGGGGUAAUGGCUCACCUAGGCGACGAUCCCUAGCUGGUCUGAGAGGAUGACCAGCCACACUGGAACUGAGACACGGUCCAGACUCCUACGGGAGGCAGCAGUGGGGAAUAUUGCACAAUGGGCGCAAGCCUGAUGCAGCCAUGCCGCGUGUAUGAAGAAGGCCUUCGGGUUGUAAAGUACUUUCAGCGAGGAGGAAGGCGUUGUGGUUAAUAACCGCAGCGAUUGACGUUACUCGCAGAAGAAGCACCGGCUAACUCCGUGCCAGCAGCCGCGGUAAUACGGAGGGUGCAAGCGUUAAUCGGAAUUACUGGGCGUAAAGCGCACGCAGGCGGUCUGUCAAGUCGGAUGUGAAAUCCCCGGGCUCAACCUGGGAACUGCAUUCGAAACUGGCAGGCUAGAGUCUUGUAGAGGGGGGUAGAAUUCCAGGUGUAGCGGUGAAAUGCGUAGAGAUCUGGAGGAAUACCGGUGGCGAAGGCGGCCCCCUGGACAAAGACUGACGCUCAGGUGCGAAAGCGUGGGGAGCAAACAGGAUUAGACGCCCUGGUAGUCCACGCCGUAAACGAUGUCGACUUGCAGGUUGUUCCCUUUGAGGAGUGGCUUCCGGAGCUAACGCGUUAAGUCGACCGCCUGGGGAGUACGGCCGCAAGGUUAAAACUUCAAAUGAAUUUGACGGGGGGCCCGGCACAAGCGGGUGGAGCAUGUGGGUUAAUUUCGAUGCAACGCGAAGAACCCUUACCUACUUCUUUGACAUCCAAAAGAAUUUAC
Molecule: ribosomal RNA, 981 nt
Filed under: Klebsiella pneumoniae
Lineage: Bacteria; Pseudomonadati; Pseudomonadota; Gammaproteobacteria; Enterobacterales; Enterobacteriaceae
Description: bacterial SSU rRNA
Rfam family: Bacterial small subunit ribosomal RNA
Source: RNAcentral